Molecule: ribosomal RNA, 421 nt
Filed under: uncultured bacterium
Lineage: Bacteria
Description: bacterial SSU rRNA
Rfam family: Bacterial small subunit ribosomal RNA
Source: RNAcentral
UAAGGAAUAUUGGUCAAUGGACGCAAGUCUGAACCAGCCAUGCCGCGUGAAGGAUGAAGGUCCUCUGGAUUGUAAACUUCUUUUAUCUGGGACGAAAACGGGAUUUUUAUCUCAAUUGACGGUACCAGAGGAAUAAGCACCGGCUAACUCCGUGCCAGCAGCCGCGGUAAUACGGAGGGUGCGAGCGUUAUCCGGAUUUACUGGGUUUAAAGGGUGCGUAGGUGGGCUUAUAAGUCAGUGGUGAAAUCUCCGAGCUUAACUUGGAAACUGCCGUUGAUACUAUAGGUCUUGAAUUAUCUGGAGGUAAGCGGAAUAUGUCAUGUAGCGGUGAAAUGCUUAGAUAUGACAUAGAACACCAAUUGCGAAGGCAGCUUACCACAUAUAAAUUGACGCUGAGGCACGAAAGCGUGGGGAUCAAACA